GGGUGAGGUAGAGGCGCGGGUAUUAUGAGUAGUUUAAAGGAGAUUGCAAGUCGAUGAAUUUAAAUGAAAGGAAGACCGCCGAAGUGUAUAGUUCUUGCAAAACUAUAUGCUGGGUUUACAUCGAAUAGGUGUAAAACUGUCAUUUAAGCUAUCCCGUAGCUUAAAUGGAGAGCUAUCUUACUU
This is a regulatory RNA element of 183 nucleotides. It matches the Rfam family "Lysine riboswitch aptamer". Rfam says of the family: Riboswitches are metabolite binding domains within certain messenger RNAs that serve as precision sensors for their corresponding targets. Allosteric rearrangement of mRNA structure is mediated by ligand binding, and this results in modulation of gene expression. The record is from Rfam.